Molecule: non-coding RNA, 83 nt
Organism: Ctenopharyngodon idella (grass carp)
Lineage: Eukaryota; Metazoa; Chordata; Actinopteri; Cypriniformes; Xenocyprididae
Source: the annotation of a RefSeq genome assembly
AGCGGGAUGGCUGGGUGGUUAAGGCUUUGGACUUACGAUCCAAUGGACUAAUGUCCUUGUGGGUUCAAACCCCACUCCUGGUA